This 460-nucleotide ribosomal RNA is filed under the name uncultured bacterium. RNAcentral describes it as "partial 16S ribosomal RNA". It matches the Rfam family "Bacterial small subunit ribosomal RNA", at positions 338 to 795 of the family's 1533-position model. The record is from RNAcentral.
CCUACGGGAGGCAGCAGUGAGGAAUAUUGGUCAAUGGGCGCUAGCCUGAACCAGCCAAGUAGCGUGUAGGAUGACUGCCCUAUGGGUUGUAAACUUCUUUUAUAUGGGAAUAAAGUGCAGUAUGUAUACUGCUUUGCAUGUACCUUAUGAAUAAGGAUCGGCUAACUCCGUGCCAGCAGCCGCGGUAAUACGGAGGAUCCGAGCGUUAUCCGGAUUUAUUGGGUUUAAAGGGAGCGUAGGCGGGUUGUUAAGUCAGUUGUGAAAGUUUGCGGCUCAACCGUUAAAUUGCAGUUGAUACUGGGAUCCUUGAGUACAGUAGAGGUAGGCGGAAUGCGUGGUGUAGCGGUGAAAUGCAUAGAUAUCACGAAGAACUCCGAUUGCGAAGGCAGCCUGCUGGACUGUAACUGACGCUGAUGCUCGAAAGUGUGGGUAUCGAACAGGAUUAGAUACCCUAGUAGUC